Long non-coding RNA from Triticum aestivum (bread wheat), 552 nucleotides. RefSeq lists it as uncharacterized. The record is from RefSeq and is a predicted model, not a curated record. NCBI's taxonomy places the organism in Eukaryota, Viridiplantae, Streptophyta, Magnoliopsida, Poales, Poaceae. The transcript is spliced from 3 exons.
CACACCCCUAUUUCAUCUCCCAACUGCUUCCCGACGGCGGCGGCGCUCCAGCUCCGGCGUCACAGCGGCGUGAUCUCGGCGGUGAGCCGGUGACCAUGGGUGGCGACUGCGACAACCCGUCGACCCCGUCGUUGGACUGAGGGUUUCAGAAUAAUUGAUCCAUCCAUGACGUACACAACAUGGCGAGAUGAGAGAGCCGUUUGUUCAGCACGGCAGAAGCUCGACCAAGGCGCAAUCCUGGUCUGCUCUCGACUCGGCUGGCUAGGUUCCCCUGCCGCUCAUCGGCAUCGGUGGCACGGUGUUUGUGUUCGGCGUCCGCGUCAAGGAUCACAAGCUCUACGAGCUCUGCUUCGACACGACCACCAACAUGACCUGUUCUUGUACCAAAAAUGACCCAUCUUAUGUAUCAAUUGAUAUUUAUGUAUGUCUGUUGUGUUAUGUUCCGGUAGGGUGUUCCAGAUGUUUAGUUCCUUUUUUUUUUUGAAAUCUCCAGAUGUUUAGUUCUGAUCGAAGGGGCUGGCUUAAUUUUGUCAUGUACUAAAAUAUUUGUGA